GACAUAGGUGGCGAACGUUAUCCGGAUUUAUUGGGCGUAAAGGAUGCGUAGAUUGGUGGAAUAAAGUUAUUGAUCUAAGUCGAGCUCAACUUGAUGGAAGUUGAGUAAUACGUGCUCUACUGGAGGACAGGAGAGGUUAACGGAAUGCAACAUAAGUAGGGGUGAAAUCCAUUGAUCUAUGGUAGACCACCAGAAAAGGCGAAGGCAGUUAAACUAUUCGUGUUCCUGACAUUUGAGGCAUGAAAGCGUGGGGAGCAAAACGG
This 263-nucleotide ribosomal RNA is filed under the name uncultured bacterium. RNAcentral's name for it is "partial 16S ribosomal RNA". It matches the Rfam family "Bacterial small subunit ribosomal RNA", at positions 524 to 776 of the family's 1533-position model. The record is from RNAcentral.